RNAcentral lists this ribosomal RNA (253 nucleotides) under uncultured bacterium. RNAcentral describes it as "partial 16S ribosomal RNA". It matches the Rfam family "Bacterial small subunit ribosomal RNA", at positions 524 to 776 of the family's 1533-position model. The record is from RNAcentral.
UACGAAGGGGGCUAGCGUUGUUCGGAAUCACUGGGCGUAAAGCGCACGUAGGCGGCUUUUUAAGUCAGGGGUGAAAUCCUGGAGCUCAACUCCAGAACUGCCUUUGAUACUGGGAAGCUCGAGUCCGGGAGAGGUGAGUGGAACUCCGAGUGUAGAGGUGAAAUUCGUAGAUAUUCGGAAGAACACCAGUGGCGAAGGCGGCUCACUGGCCCGGUACUGACGCUGAGGAGCGAAAGCGUGGGGAGCAAACAGG